RNAcentral lists this ribosomal RNA (405 nucleotides) under uncultured bacterium. RNAcentral's name for it is "bacterial SSU rRNA". It matches the Rfam family "Bacterial small subunit ribosomal RNA", at positions 791 to 1195 of the family's 1533-position model. The record is from RNAcentral.
UAGUCCACGCUGUAAACGAUGUCUACUAGCCGUUGGAAGGAUUUACCUUUUAGUGGCGAAGCUAACGCGAUAAGUAGACCGCCUGGGGAGUACGGCCGCAAGGCUAAAACUCAAAGGAAUUGACGGGGCCCGCACAAGCGGUGGAGCAUGUGGUUUAAUUCGAUGCAACGCGAAGAACCUUACCAGCCCUUGACAUCCAGUGAACUUUCUAGAGAUAGAUUGGUGCCUUCGGGAACACUGUGACAGGUGCUGCAUGGCUGUCGUCAGCUCGUGUCGUGAGAUGUUGGGUUAAGUCCCGUAACGAGCGCAACCCUUGUCCUUAGUUGCCAGCACAUUAUGGUGGGAACUCUAAGGAGACUGCCGGUGACAAACCGGGAGGAAGGUGGGGAUGACGUCAAGUCAUCA